GACGAACGCUGGCGGCGUGCUUAACACAUGCAAGUCGAACGGUGAAGCGCCUUCCUUUUUGGUGGGUGUGGAUGAGUGGCGAACGGGUGAGUAACACGUGAGUAACCUGCUCCCUUCUUCUGGAUAACCGCAUGCAAGUGUGGCUAAUACGGGAUAUUCUGGGUCUGUCGCAUGAUGGGUCUGGGAAAGAUAUUGUUUCGGUGGGGGAUGGGCUCGCGGCCUAUCAGCUUGUUGGUGGGGUGAUGGCCUACCAAGGCGGUGACGGGUAGCCGGCCUGAGAGGGUGGACGAUCACACUGGGACUGAGACACGGCCAAGACUCCUACGGGAGGCAGCAGUGAGGAAUAUUGCACAGUGGGCGCAAGCCUGAUGCAGCGACGCCGCGUGAGGGAUGGAGGCCUUCUGGUUGUGAACCUCUUUCGCCAGUGAAGCAGGCCUGCCUCGUUUGUGGGUGGGUUGACGGUAGCUGGAUAAGAAGCGCCGGCUAACUACGUG
RNAcentral lists this ribosomal RNA (494 nucleotides) under uncultured bacterium. RNAcentral's name for it is "partial 16S ribosomal RNA". It matches the Rfam family "Bacterial small subunit ribosomal RNA", at positions 28 to 507 of the family's 1533-position model. The record is from RNAcentral.